RNAcentral lists this ribosomal RNA (374 nucleotides) under uncultured prokaryote. Its description in RNAcentral is "bacterial SSU rRNA". It matches the Rfam family "Bacterial small subunit ribosomal RNA", at positions 524 to 896 of the family's 1533-position model. The record is from RNAcentral.
UACGUAGGGUGCGAGCGUUAAUCGGAAUUACUGGGCGUAAAGCGUGCGCAGGCGGUUUGACAAGUCAGAUGUGAAAGCCCCGGGCUUAACCUGGGAACUGCGUUUGAAACUGUCGGACUAGAGUGUGGCAGAGGGGGGUAGAAUUCCACGUGUAGCAGUGAAAUGCGUAGAUAUGUGGAGGAAUACCGAUGGCGAAGGCAGCCCCCUGGGUCAACACUGACGCUCAUGCACGAAAGCGUGGGGAGCAAACAGGAUUAGAUACCCUGGUAGUCCACGCCCUAAACGAUGUCAACUGGUUGUCGGGAGAGGAGACUUUCUUGGUAACGAAGCUAACGCGUGAAGUUGACCGCCUGGGGAGUACGAUCGCAAGAUUA